RNAcentral lists this ribosomal RNA (253 nucleotides) under uncultured bacterium. RNAcentral's name for it is "partial 16S ribosomal RNA". It matches the Rfam family "Bacterial small subunit ribosomal RNA", at positions 524 to 776 of the family's 1533-position model. The record is from RNAcentral.
AACGGAGGAUCCGAGCGUUAUCCGGAUUUAUUGGGUUUAAAGGGUGCGUAGGCGGUUUGAUAAGUUAGAGGUGAAAUGUCGGGGCUCAACCCCGAAACUGCCUCUAAUACUGUUGGACUAGAGAAUAGUUGCGGUAGGCGGAAUGUAUGGUGUAGCGGUGAAAUGCUUAGAGAUCAUACAGAACACCGAUUGCGAAGGCAGCUUACCAAACUAUAUCUGACGUUGAGGCACGAAAGCGUGGGUAGCAAACAGG